RNAcentral lists this long non-coding RNA (957 nucleotides) under Parus major (Great Tit). RNAcentral describes it as "lncRNA (ENSPMJG00000012903.1)". The record is from RNAcentral. Lineage: Eukaryota; Metazoa; Chordata; Aves; Passeriformes; Paridae.
CACCCUUUUCUCCCUCCAUUCAUAUUUGUCAGCAGGACUCCCUCCCUUCCUAUAAUGAAACUGAAGGAGAUUUCCCCCUUUUGUGUUUUAAUGAUGAGAGCCAGGAAGAGAUCACAGAAAGAAAAGACCUCCAGCAUCUCCCUGCUGAGGGCCAGAGAGUCCUGGUUUGGCACAGCAGACCAUCAACCUCAACGUGCUGCACAACUCCCUGACACAUCCAGAGCCAUCAUUUGGUCUCAUUGAAGCCCCACACUGGUGAAGGUUUUAUCACAGUCUCCUCCUACAACAUCACAAACACCAAACUGUCACCCCCGUUCUCCAAAAAGAACCUGAAGAGAUGGAUGAGCAGCUCUGUUGCCUUUCAGAAACUCAGCUUUUCACCCAAGGAAGGAACUGAUGUCACCAGUGGAAAAUCUGUGACAUUUCUGGGAGGAUCUGUGAGCCCGUGGCCACAGUAGGGCACUCCAGAGCCAUCAGAGUCUUGCCAAUAAAAACAGGAGUUGAGCUCGUUUUGGAGUGGCUGUGACCUGGAUUUACUCCCCAAAAGAUUGCACAGUGCCCAGACAAAGUGGCCAGACACACAGAGCCGAGCCACGCUGCAGGACUGCACAGGAUCCCCUGGCACACACUGCCAGGGAUGUUACCAAGAUCCUCAUGAGGGACUGUAUGGCCGUGGUGUGAAGCUCAGGACAGCGUGUUGUGCUGGCUGGUGUGAAGCAGGUGCUCACUUACUCCUCCCCAUGCUGACUAGCAUGUCAAAGUCAAGUGUGUUUGCAUGCAAGUGUCACCCACAAAAUGUGUUCUUCCUGCUUGAUCCAUCCAAUUACAUGUCUGACUUUGCCUGGACUCAGUGGAGAUUGAUAGUGCUGGGAUCAGACUGUGUUCAAGGAAUUGGAAAUCUGAUUUGAGGCAGAGGUGUGGGUUGGCUCUGAAGCUCUCAAGGUUCACAGGCCUCAC